This 456-nucleotide ribosomal RNA is filed under the name uncultured eukaryote. RNAcentral describes it as "eukaryotic LSU rRNA". It matches the Rfam family "Eukaryotic large subunit ribosomal RNA", at positions 13 to 464 of the family's 3401-position model. The record is from RNAcentral.
AGACGAGAUUACCCGCUGAAUUUAAGCAUAUUAAUAAGCGGAGGAAAAGAAACUAACCAGGAUUCCCCUAGUAACGGCGAGUGAAGCGGGAAUAGCCCAGCACCGAAUCGCACGCCGUCAGGCGUCGCGAACUGUGGUGUUUAGGACGAGCGCAUGCGCGUCGGAGCGGCGUCCGAGUCCUCCUGAUUGGGGCUUUGCCAUAGCGGGUGUCAGCCCUCUACGGCGCCGCGACGACGUGCCGGCCACGUCCUCGGAGUCGGGUUGUUUGAGAAUGCAGCCCAAAGCUGGUGGUAAACUCCAUCUAAGGCUAAAUACUGACACGAGUCCGAUAGUGAACAAGUACUGUGAAGGAAAGGUGAAAAGCACCGCGGGAGCGGAGUGAAAUAGAACCUGAAAUCGUACGCUUACAAGGUAUGGAAGCCCGUAAGGGUGACCGUGUGCCUUUUGUAGCAUGAG